Non-coding RNA from Paralichthys olivaceus (Japanese flounder), 248 nucleotides. The record is from RefSeq and is a predicted model, not a curated record. Lineage: Eukaryota; Metazoa; Chordata; Actinopteri; Pleuronectiformes; Paralichthyidae.
AGGAUCGGGGGGACAAUCUGAGACAUGGUGGACAAUCGUCUGUGGAGAAACACAAAGGCACACAUACAUGACAAGAAGAAGAGAAACUCGUGUAAACGCUUCACAUCGGUUCUUCUCGCUGUUUGGAAACGAAGCAGAAGCUGAAACAUCGUGUGAAGGUCUAAGAAAAACUUCCGGACCAGCUGUGACGUCUUCUCCUUGUGUUCAGCGGUAUGACCACCUUAUAGGCGCAUUACCGCCACCUACUG